This 464-nucleotide long non-coding RNA is filed under the name Coturnix japonica (Japanese quail). Its description in RNAcentral is "lncRNA (ENSCJPG00005017164.1)". Lineage: Eukaryota; Metazoa; Chordata; Aves; Galliformes; Phasianidae. The record is from RNAcentral.
UGAGGUUGGAGACCAGGGCAUAUUUUUUCCUUUUCUUUCAGCCCAACAAAACUUGAAUCCAUCUCUGCAGAUUGUAUCCUUGCAUCACAGAGUUUAUCAGGUCACCUUGCAGCCUUCUCUUCUCCAUGCUGCACUCCUUGGAUUCCCACCCAUGAAAACUGGAAGUUUGGAGAGAUGUGUGAGUGCUCCGGUGAGAUUCCUGGAGAAUGUUAGGAUACCUUUGCAGCAUGCCGUGCAACCUGCAAGCAGCAGGGCUAUUUCUACUGGAACUUUAUUGGUGAAUGCCAUGCAGCCUGGAAACUUCUGGGGAAGGAAUUUCUUCAGGCCUUGACUCAGUCUCUGUCAACCCUGAACAUACGUAAAAUCGGUGGAAAACACAUUUUGGCGUAUAAUACUAACAGUGAAAGCACUCUUACAAAAUAACUGUCUUUAAAACCACAGAUAUUCUAAAGUUUCUUGUUGCC